RNAcentral lists this unclassified non-coding RNA (337 nucleotides) under Klebsiella pneumoniae subsp. pneumoniae. RNAcentral describes it as "partial 16S-23S ribosomal RNA intergenic spacer". The stretch from base 237 to 330 matches the Rfam family "Salmonella enterica Typhi npcRNA 44". The record is from RNAcentral. Lineage: Bacteria; Pseudomonadati; Pseudomonadota; Gammaproteobacteria; Enterobacterales; Enterobacteriaceae.
CCUUAAAGAACCUGCCUUUGUAGUGCUCACAGAUUGUCUGAUGAACGUAAAGAAGCAAGGCGUCUUGCGAUUGAGACUUCAGUGUCCCCUUCGUCUAGAGGCCCAGGACACCGCCCUUUCACGGCGGUAACAGGGGUUCGAAUCCCCUAGGGGACGCCACUUGCUGGUUCGUGAGUGAAAGACGCGUGCCGAUGUAUCUCAAAACUCAUCUUCGGGUGAUGUUUGAGAUAUUUGCUCUUUAAAAAUCUGGAUCAAGCUGAAAAUUGAAACGACACACAGUUAAUGUGUGUUCGAGUCUCUCAAAUUUUCGCAAUCUGAAGACAUCUUCGGGUUGUGA